This 71-nucleotide transfer RNA is filed under the name Bacteroidaceae bacterium. RNAcentral's name for it is "tRNA-OTHER". It matches the Rfam family "tRNA". From Rfam's summary of the family: Transfer RNA (tRNA) molecules are approximately 80 nucleotides in length. Their secondary structure includes four short double-helical elements and three loops (D, anti-codon, and T loops). Further hydrogen bonds mediate the characteristic L-shaped molecular structure. tRNAs have two regions of fundamental functional importance: the anti-codon, which is responsible for specific mRNA codon recognition, and the 3' end, to which the tRNAs corresponding amino acid is attached (by aminoacyl-tRNA synthetases). tRNAs cope with the degeneracy of the genetic code in two manners: having more than one tRNA (with a specific anti-codon) for a particular amino acid; and 'wobble' base-pairing, i.e. permitting non-standard base-pairing at the 3rd anti-codon position. The record is from RNAcentral. Lineage: Bacteria; Pseudomonadati; Bacteroidota; Bacteroidia; Bacteroidales; Bacteroidaceae.
AAGUGUUUAGCUCAUGUGGUGUAGAGCGCUGGAUGAAAAUCUGGAGGUGACGGGUCCGAAUCCCGUAACAC